CCUUCUUCUUCUUCCUGAGACA
Molecule: microRNA, 22 nt
Filed under: Mus musculus (house mouse)
Lineage: Eukaryota; Metazoa; Chordata; Mammalia; Rodentia; Muridae
Description: mmu-miR-1903
Source: miRBase by way of RNAcentral